UACGUAGGGUGCGAGCGUUAAUCGGAAUUACUGGGCGUAAGGCGUGCGCAGGCGGUUUUGUAAGACAGGUGUGAAAUCCCCGGGCUUAACCUGGGAACUGCGCUUGUGACUGCAAGACUCGAGUACGGCAGAGGGGGGUAGAAUUCCACGUGUAGCAGUGAAAUGCGUAGAGAUGUGGAGGAAUACCGAUGGCGAAGGCAGCCCCCUGGGUCGAUACUGACGCUCAUGCACGAAAGCGUGGGGAGCAAACAGG
RNAcentral lists this ribosomal RNA (253 nucleotides) under uncultured bacterium. RNAcentral describes it as "partial 16S ribosomal RNA". It matches the Rfam family "Bacterial small subunit ribosomal RNA", at positions 524 to 776 of the family's 1533-position model. The record is from RNAcentral.